CCUACGUGAGGCAGCAGUGGGGAAUAUUGCACAAUGGGGGAAACCCUGAUGCAGCGACGCCGCGUGAGGGAAGAAGUAUUUCGGUAUGUACACCUCUAUCAGCAGGGAAGAACAUGCCGGUACCUGACUAAGAAGCCACGGCUAACUACGUGCCAGCAGCCGCGGUAAUACGUAGGGUGCGAGCGUUAUCCGGAUUUACUGGGUGUAAAGGGAGCGUAGGCGGUGCAGCAAGUCAGAAGUGAAAGCCCGGGGCUCAACUCCGGGACUGCUUUUGAAACUGGUGAACUAGAUUGCAGGAGAGGUAAGUGGAAUUCCAAGUGUAGCGGUGAAAUGCGUAGAUAUUAGGAGGAACACCAGUGGCGAAGGCGGCUUACUGGACUGUAAAUGACGCUGAGGCUCGAAAGCGUGGGGAGCAAACAGGAUUAGAUACCCCAGUAGUC
Molecule: ribosomal RNA, 440 nt
Filed under: uncultured bacterium
Lineage: Bacteria
Description: partial 16S ribosomal RNA
Rfam family: Bacterial small subunit ribosomal RNA
Source: RNAcentral